GAAGUGCGAUAAGCAGUGCGAAUUGCAGAACCGUGAGUCAUCGGAUUUUUGAACGCAACUGGCGCCGUGCGGCCUCGGCUGCCGGCACGCCUGGUCCAGUGUCUUGUUCUCUCAUCACCAAAAUCUUAAUGCGAGAGAUGCCCUUCUCUUGCCAAGCAUGAAAGCACUCUGCGCUCUGCGAGCGGCCUUCGGGUCGCACUCAAUGCAGCAGUCACAUUGCUAACAGUGUGAACUCAUUGAGAGUGGACGCAGUGCAGCAACAGCUGCCAGUGCUUAGUCACAUCAACUUUGGAAGCGCAUCUGGGCUCAGGUGGGACCACCCGCUGAACUUAA
This 333-nucleotide unclassified non-coding RNA is filed under the name uncultured fungus. RNAcentral describes it as "sequence contains ITS1". The stretch from base 1 to 104 matches the Rfam family "5.8S ribosomal RNA", at positions 50 to 154 of the family's 154-position model. The record is from RNAcentral. Lineage: Eukaryota; Fungi.